RNAcentral lists this ribosomal RNA (403 nucleotides) under uncultured bacterium. RNAcentral's name for it is "partial 16S ribosomal RNA". It matches the Rfam family "Bacterial small subunit ribosomal RNA", at positions 30 to 526 of the family's 1533-position model. The record is from RNAcentral.
AUUGAACGCUGGCGGCAGGCCUAACACAUGCAAGUCGAGCGAGCGGCGGACGGGUGUGUAAUGUAUGGGGACUGCCCGAUAGAGGGGGAUAACUACUGGAAACGGUGGCUAAUACCGCAUACUAUCGGAUAACCCAUAUGGGAUUAGCUAGUAGGUGGGGUAAAGGCUCACCAAGGCGACGAGCUCUAGCUGGUCUGAGAGGUUGAUUGGCCAACCGGGGACUGGGCAACGGCCAGGACUCUUAGGGAGUCAGCAGUGGGGAAUAUUGCACAAUGGGGGCAAGCCUGCUGCAGCAAUGCCGCGUGGAUGAAGAAGGCCUUAGGGUGGUAAAGUACUUUCAGCGGGGAGGCGUUACCCGCAGAAGAAGCACCGGCUAACUCCGUGCCAGCAGCCGCGGUAAUUC